ACCCAUUAGGGUUUGACACGGGAUCUCUAUAAAUAGGAGGGAUUCACAGCCUCAUAGGCUAGAGUCUUUGCUUGCCUUUCCUAUUCUCCUCUCCCUCUCCACCUCAGAGUAGGCCUGGAGUUUUGAGGAGCGUCGUCGCAACCCUGCUGUGUGGAUCACCGCUAGAGAGGAGGACGCUUGACCUCCUUCACCCUCUACUAAGGAUCUGCAAGAAAACAGGGAUAUACGAUCUCCCUAGGUAACACAAUCUCUAUACGCAGUUUUGUGUUUUGCGGAUUUUUACGCACCAAUCUUCGCACGACGACGAACAUCUUUUUGGGAAUCGGGGAUUUUUGUUUUCUUGUUCUUCCGCUACGCAUAUGAUGUCUCCCCAAAUGAUUUCCCAAUAGACCUUACGAGGGCUAUUGAGUGUCGAUAGAGGAUCAUCCACUCUCGGCGUCAUGAGAGGAAUAUCCCAUGUGUUCUUGCUCAGACAAAUCCUCGGCUAGGGUCAUUCGGGUUGAGAGAGAAAGAGUUCUCCGGGAGAAUCCGAUUAGAGCAAGACUCCAGUAGAAACCGUAUGGGUCUGACAGCACCAUGCUCGAUAUACGGUCUCUGGGAUAUUAGAUGGAUGAGGGACUAUAGGUAAACGGUAACUGAGGACAGACAAGUCCAAUAGAUUGGAUUCCCCUGUAUCGUCUGGGGACUACGGCGUAGUGGCCUAGUACGUCCGUAGUCGAUGAGUCGAGUGAAUUAUUACAGAGAUAAUAAUUCACUGAGUUAGAAGGAGUUCUGACAGGUAUGACUCAUGGACAGCUCGAUAUUGGGCCUAGAGGGUCACACACAUAUGGUAGGCAUUACGAUGAGUAGAGGUUCAGAUAUGAGAUAUCCGACGGAGCCCUUGUCUUAUUGGAUGCAGAUCCAAUACCCACUAAGGAAGGACCCAUUAGGGUUUGACUCGGGAUCUCUAUAAAUAGGAGGGAUUCACAGCCUCAUAGGCUAGAGUCUUUGCUUGUCUUUCCUAUUCUCCUCUCCCUCUCCACCUUAGAGUAGGCCUGGAGUUUUGAGGAGCGUCGUCGCAACCCUGCUGUGUGGAUCACCGCUAGAGAGGAGGACGCUUGACCUCCUUCACCCUCUCCUAAGGAUCUGCAAGGAAACAGGGAUAUACGAUCUCCCUAGGUAACACAAUCUCUAUACGCAGUUUUGUGUUUUGCGGAUUUUUACGCACCAAUCUUCGCACGACGACGAACAUCUUUUUGGGAAUCGGGGAUUUUU
RNAcentral lists this long non-coding RNA (1254 nucleotides) under Musa acuminata (dwarf banana). RNAcentral's name for it is "long non-coding RNA (MACU_LNC010670)". Lineage: Eukaryota; Viridiplantae; Streptophyta; Magnoliopsida; Zingiberales; Musaceae. The record is from RNAcentral.